Molecule: ribosomal RNA, 574 nt
Filed under: uncultured bacterium
Lineage: Bacteria
Description: bacterial SSU rRNA
Rfam family: Bacterial small subunit ribosomal RNA
Source: RNAcentral
CCUACGGGAGGCAGCAGUGAGGAAUAUUGGACAAUGGGCGCAAGCCUGAUCCAGCCAUGCCGCGUGCAGGAAGAAGCAUCUAUGGUGUGUAAACUGCUUUUGUACAGGAAGAAACACUCCCUCGUGAGGGAGCUUGACGGUACUGUAAGAAUAAGGACCGGCUAACUCCGUGCCAGCAGCCGCGGUAAUACGGAGGGUCCGAGCGUUAUCCGGAAUCAUUGGGUUUAAAGGGUCCGUAGGCGGUUUAAUAAGUCAGUGGUGAAAUCUGGUCGCUCAACGAUCAAACGGCCAUUGAUACUGUUAGACUUGAAUUAUAAGGAAGUAACUAGAAUAUGUAGUGUAGCGGUGAAAUGCUUAGAUAUUACAUGGAAUACCAAUUGCGAAGGCAGGUUACUACUUAUGGAUUGACGCUGAUGGACGAAAGCGUGGGGAGCGAACAGGAUUAGAUACCCUGGUAGUCCACGCCGUAAACGAUGGAUACUAGCUGUUCGGAGCAAUCUGAGUGGCUAAGCGAAAGUGAUAGGUAUCCCACCUGGGGGUACGUUCGCAAGAAUGAAACUCAAAGGAAUUGAGG